This 209-nucleotide long non-coding RNA is filed under the name Elaeis guineensis (African oil palm). RNAcentral's name for it is "long non-coding RNA (EGUI_LNC032296)". Lineage: Eukaryota; Viridiplantae; Streptophyta; Magnoliopsida; Arecales; Arecaceae. The record is from RNAcentral.
AAUAUACUUAUAUGUGUGCUCUAAAAGUUCAGCAUAAGUCUGAGAGAGAAUUUUAUCUAGGAAGUAAGUAAAUCUGGAUCCCUUCAGAUCUCUUUUCAUGAUCGAGAUGGCCAUAUCUUCGUUGAAAUCUCGACUUCAAGUGUCACGAUGUUAAAGUGGACCAUAAAGUCUCUUAGCAUCUUUGAUUCACCUUGUUUGAUGGAGAAGAG